Molecule: transfer RNA, 71 nt
Filed under: Loxodonta africana (African savanna elephant)
Lineage: Eukaryota; Metazoa; Chordata; Mammalia; Proboscidea; Elephantidae
Rfam family: tRNA
About the family: Transfer RNA (tRNA) molecules are approximately 80 nucleotides in length. Their secondary structure includes four short double-helical elements and three loops (D, anti-codon, and T loops).
Source: Rfam by way of RNAcentral
GCAUUGGUGGCUCAUUGGCAGAAUGCUCGCCUUCCAGGUGGGAGAGCUGGGUUUGAUUCCCAGCCAGUGCA